UUUCCGUAGGUGAACCUGCGGAAGGAUCAUUACCAAGUUUUCAUUGAAGUGGUUUUGUUCUUUCGGGGCCAGUGGACGCUUCUAUCAAUCCAUCUUACACAUGUGCACCUAGCGGGGAAUUCUUGGAUCUAAGUUGGGUCACGCCGGCGAUCUACAGUAACCUCUUUCUACCAAAUAACACUUUUAGUAAGUCUUUUUUCCUUUCUGCAACCUUAAAUAAAUACAACUUUCAGCAACGGAUCUCUUGGCUCUG
Molecule: unclassified non-coding RNA, 253 nt
Filed under: plant metagenome
Description: partial contains small subunit ribosomal RNA, internal transcribed spacer 1, and 5.8S ribosomal RNA
Source: RNAcentral